UGGAAAAUUUUUAAUCCUUUCAUAGUUUUUUAAUACAUCUGUUUCGAGUUUUUUUUUUUAAAUUACAUGUCAGGUGGGAUGGGUUGUUUUUUUUAUUUAUUUAUAUAUUUUUUUGAGAUAUUUGUGUAAAUCAUAUGUUAGUUUUUUUUUUAGAAUUUAUUUCAGUUUAAGUCAUAACACGUGUGAGUUCUAUCAAAUUUUAUUCUAUUUUUUUUAAUUGAAGCAAACACAUAUUUUAAAUUGAUCUAAAACUUAGAUAUUUUAGAUUAUUA
This 272-nucleotide long non-coding RNA is filed under the name Gossypium raimondii (Peruvian cotton). Its description in RNAcentral is "long non-coding RNA (GRAI_LNC007268)". Lineage: Eukaryota; Viridiplantae; Streptophyta; Magnoliopsida; Malvales; Malvaceae. The record is from RNAcentral.